CCUAUAAAUAUUGGUUGCAAUCUUCACACGAUAUAGAGUGAGUGAGAGAGAGAAAGAAAGAAAGAUCAUCUUCAAAUGAAGCCAUUGUGGUUCAUUUUGCUCUUGUUUUUCAUUAUUCUUCUCUUCCAAGCAUAUAAUUCUUCCGCUGGCAGGUCAGAAAAUUGUACAUCUCCACCUCCAUCUCCGGAAGAGAGCAACUCUCCUGUUGGUCGUUAUUCUGUUCAGAAUCCAUAGUGUACGAUGGUUCACUACAUAUAAUAAUAACUAAAAUUGUUAUGUGAGAAAAAAAAAAUUAGGGAACAACUAAAAACAACAUUUUGUUCUCAAAAUUUUCUAUUUUUUUUGUAACUUUGUUUUUUGAAAAUAAUGUCAAACGCCACUACUUGUUUUCAGAAAAUAAUUUUUAGAUUUUAAAAACGAAAAACAAUUUUUUAGUUAAAAAGCCGAACACCCUCCAAAUCGUUCUCAUCUGGUGUUGGUUUUCUAACAAUUAUCAUUCUUCCUUUUGGUGAAGUCAAAGACUACAAUCAUUUUCUUCAAGCCAAUUGAAUUCGCCUAUUGUGCAAAUGAUUUAAUCCUCAAUGAUAUAUCUUGUAGUCUUUGUGUCAAACUUGGAUUAACACAAAGCACUCGUUGGAACUUGAAUGACACAAAGUUCAACACUUGAUGGAAUGCAUGAAGAUUUGUGACAAAGUGGCAUAAGUCUUUUGAAAAUCAAAGAAUGAACUUCUUCUUCCUUAGUAAAGAAUAAAUUUUAAAAA
Long non-coding RNA from Humulus lupulus (European hop), 761 nucleotides. RefSeq lists it as uncharacterized. NCBI's taxonomy places the organism in Eukaryota, Viridiplantae, Streptophyta, Magnoliopsida, Rosales, Cannabaceae. The transcript has 2 exons. The record is from RefSeq and is a predicted model, not a curated record.